AAACAUUGUGUUUGCCAUUUCUGAACCCAUAAUCUCCCCUUCUUCCCCACCAUGUCUUUGCUAAUAGAACCUCUGUUUUCUAAUAGAACCUCUGUUUUCUUUAGGUAUCCAUGGCUUUCUCACAGUCAUGGGACUCUGAGGAAAAAGGACCCCAUCCUGCUUUUUUGGUUUUUUUUUGUUUUUGAGGUGGAGUUUUGCUCUUGAGCUGGAAACCAUCAUUCUCAGCAAACGAUCGCAAAGACAAAGAACCAAACAUCGCAUGUUCUCACUCACAGGUGGGAAUUGAACAAUGAGAAUUGAGGGUGGAGGAAUUAAAAAUAGAUGGGAGGAUGGGAGGAGGGAGAGGAUCAGGAAAAAUAAUGGGUACUAGGAUUAAUAACCAGGUGACAAAAUAAUCUGUACAACAAACUCCUAUGACUCAAGUUUACCUAUGUAACAAACCUGCACAUGUACCCCUGAACUUAAAACAAAAGUUGAAUAGGGAAUAAAAUAAAAAAUAAAGAAAUGAAAAAGAUGAUUUCAGAUAGUAUUGUAUUCAAUUAAAUAAAUGGCAGCAUGAUCAUCUAGAGAUUGGAGGUGUCUGGAAGGCCCAAGGAGGGACAGUUUUAGCUUCUCCCUGAGUGAUUAAAAGGAGCCAGCAGGAAAACGGCAGUGGGGGAAGGAGAUAGUCUGGGCAAAGACAAAAGCCCAGAUAUAGGUAUUUAUAAUAGAGAAAAUUAAUGAAGCAAACCUACCCUCAGAAGGGGGUUACUUAAAAGGUAUGGUACAUCCAUAUGACAGAAUACUACAGAAUGGAUUAAAGCUUUUUAAAAGGAAAUGGAAAAAUGCUCAUAAUAUAUCACUUCAGAAAAAGCUGAAUGUAAAACAACUAUAAACAUGCUCAUAGGAGAAAUACUGGAAGCAAAUAUAAAAUAUUAGCAGUGAUUAUAUCUGGUUAUUUCCAGGUAUAGGACCACAGAUGGCUUUACAUUUUUUUAUGUGCUUUUCAGUAUAUAUGUACACAGUAUGUGCAUACAGUAUAUAUAUACACUGUGUAUAUAUACACUGUGUAUAUAUAUACAAGUAUAUAUGUAUACACAGUAUAUAUGUAUACACAGUAUAUAUAUACACAGUAUAUAUGUAUACACAGUAUAUAUAUACACAGUAUAUAUAUACUUGCAGAUGACCUCUGCAGACUUAAAUGUCCCUGUGUGACAGCUUUGAAGAGAGUAGUGUUUCUCCCAGCAUGCA
Molecule: long non-coding RNA, 1230 nt
Filed under: Homo sapiens (human)
Lineage: Eukaryota; Metazoa; Chordata; Mammalia; Primates; Hominidae
Description: non-protein coding lnc-DTWD2-10:1
Source: RNAcentral